GGUAUUCCUCAUUCACUGGACUGUGUACACAGAGUCUUACCUUCUCCUUUCUCCUAUUGUUCUUCUCCUCUUUUUGAUUUAAAUUCUAUGCAGUCCUAAAAACCAGGCUCAGUGACUGUAUCAGCCUGGCCUUUGCAUCUUUGCUCUGAUGUUGCUGGGUUGAAUUAGGGAGGAAAGUUUCCUUUUUCAAGGAAGUCCAGUUCCCUUUUAGUUUUUUCCCUUGGAAAUACAGACUUUGGGCUGUGGUUUCCUUUGGGCUUAAAUGAGAUGACUUAUGUGAAGAUGGUGGGCACACUUUUGAAAAUGUCUAAGGGAAAUUUGAGAAGUUCCAAGUCCAGAAUUCUGUUGGCUCGAUGGGCAGGCAGGAUGAAGUGUGUGAGAGCGGGUCAGGUGGGGUGCUCUGGGAUCUGGAACAUCCUGGGAUCUUGAACAAGCCUGUUGCAGCUUGCUUUUCCCUGUGUCUCAAUAGCUUCUCCUUCUCUCCUGAACCACAUCCUUCUCUCCCUGCACUCCCAAUGCAGAGCCAGUGCACUAGCACUGGACGUGAUGUUGAACCCAAUAUUCUUGCCCAGUAGAUGCCCAAAUCGUAUUUGAAUAAGCUUGCCAACGAGUGGAUUGGGUGCUAACUCUAUUUUUGCAAAGUUUUGCUCUUUACUGAGUAUUUCUCUUCCUUGAACUUGUGUAGUGUAUGCUGCCAUGAUUGUAUCGCCGUCACGGAUGGUUUUCCUUUUUUCUUCAACAUAAUCAUAAAUGUGCACUCUCUGGUUUCAGAGCAGCUGGCCUGAUCCCCAGUAAAGCCUUCAUAUAAACACGGAGACUUGGCAGGUAGACACGGCCCACACCGCUCUGCCCUUUGGCUGGUGCAUGGCUGUGGUUAUACAGGGGCCUGGGUCACUGGGCUCUGACUCUGAAAGCCAAACACAUUCUGUGGUAAAAGCAAUCACAGGUCUUGCUUUCUGAGGGUGUCGCUGGUUUUUGCUUAGGGUGGUCUUGAGAAUUACAUUCUUCUGUGCCCUGUGCCUGGUUUUUGUUUCAUUUAUUCACAGAGCCUUUUUUUCCCCCCUCCUCAUAGCUUUGUAAUUUGCCUCAAGACUGUGGACACAUCAUGCUGUCCCAGGGUCCUCAGUUUCCCUUUUGUACACCUUGGAGCCAGUUGGUCCCUUUGUUAGUUGUAGCACAGAGCGGGCUGCCAGUUUCCCUCACUGCUCCCUGCUCAUGGUCUGGAGGAACAAAGAAAAGAAGGAGAAACUCUGGGCUGUGCUUGCCAGGUAAACGGCUUUUGCCUGGUCAGUGGCCCCCUUGGCUUCUUGGAGAAGCACUGUGCUUGCUCAGACAUAAACAAAAGAAAAAUAGAGAGCAGUCUUGCUGGGCAAUCUUUAUAAAACAUCAGUUGUGAUAGUUUGGGAUGUCUUUUGUUAUGUGACCUUGUACCAAAAUAAGCAAAUCAGAAGCGUGAGUGGCUCCUUCUCCUGAGUCUUGGGAGGUCAGGCCUUAAUUCAGCGUUCUCUAAGGGGAACACUCUGCUUCUCCCUUUCCAGGGUGAGCUCAGGACUUAAACUGGCUUUAGAGUGUUGGUCACUGCCGCCCCCCUCCCCCCUUCCUGGCUUCAGGGAAGAAUGAGUCUGUUUUUAGCAGGUGGAUGCUUCUGGUUUUCCAUUAUGGAUUUGGAAGCAGACAGAUGCUGGGGAGCACACAGGGUGAUGGGCAGGAUUCGAGGUGACGGCCUGAGGGCUGCCACUCAGUGGCUUCUGAAGCAUAGUGAUGCCUUGUUAGAGCCCGGAUUGUUCUGGGAAUGAGAAGUCUUGUGCUCUCCCUCCUCCUUCACGCCCUAACCCUCCCCUCCCCUUGCAGGGAAAAAAAAAAUUCCUUCCCACUUUUAGCAUCCGUGUUUUUAAGAAUUCCCUCCAUUGUAGCCCCGGACAGAGACCCUUCUGUAAGUGCACUGGAGGCCUGUCCUGGGGACACCCCGCCCCCCUAUUAAAAGACCAUCGGAACAAGCUCACCAUUCUCCUCUGGAGAGGGUCCCUCUGUCCCAGGCCAAGGGACUCUUAAGGGAACGUUUAUCCUGGGACACUCAGUUUACAAAGACUGCUGCAGCGUCAGAUAAACUCCCUCAGCCCUGGUGGGGAGGGGUGGGAUAGGAGAAGGACAAAACCCCCUUUAUUUUCACCCCUGCAGGGAGACCAAUAAAGACUUUGUGCUGGAGCGCAGGGGUCUGAGCAAACAGAGGAAGGGGGUCUGUGUUGGCAUCCAUGCACCGGAGCAUUAUGGGCUAUUAUCUUACCAUUUGAGUCUUAGGGGAAAUCUUGGCUUGGGUGGUUGAUUGCAAGGCUCCAAUCAGGUGAAAUCAGAGAUUUCCAGUUGGCUCGGUGGUUGCUUGGACCCAAGAAGGAAGGACCGGAAUAAAGGGAAGGGAAAGAGGAUGUGGCAGCAGCCCUUGGCCACUGGGAAGCAUCGGGAGCCACCACACGGCUAGCAGCAACACCCCUUGAAGUGCCUGGCCAAGGGCAGGACCCAUCUUGAAAGGCGAGAGCCCUGGAUUCAAUCAAGGAUUUUUAUUUUGGAGAACAUGGCAACUUGUGGACUUGUGGAGACAUUUGCAUAGAAAGCAAAGCCCCUCUCCUGAAGGACCUACGUGUGUGUGAACCUGAGCUAGCAGAUGUUAAGCAAAGGGGACGCUGUGCCCCAUGAAGCUUGUCCUCCCAGAGCGGGGCCUUCUUUCUGGUGGCAGACAUCCUCUGCAGCUGCCUGCUGUGUCUCCCCCGCCCAACCCUGCACCCCAGCUUCCCUGCACCCUCCCCACCUGCCCCCACCUCCACACCUGCGCACCUUUGCACAGAGCUAUCCCUCCUGUUUGCUGCAUUAUCAUUCAGCCGGAUACUGAGUGAAUAGUUAACCACACUUGGGGCAGACAGGAUCUUGGUUUUCCUGUUCCUUCUAAAGAGGCCGGCGUUGGUGUAUUGCAAGUGGCAUGGGAAGAGUAUUGGGAUCUGGCUCUGCAGGUUCCGGAAUGACGCAGGAGCUGGUGUGUGUGUACCUCUAGCUCUCAGGGCCCCCAAAGGAGCUCUGGGCAGGAAAGCAGGUGCUUGACACUCGUCUUCUUUGUGCCCCAUUUGUUCAGUGUGUGCCGUACACAGGUGUGUGUCUGGAGGGUCAGUGGGUCCUGUUGCUUAUUCCAGCCAUCUUCUCUGACACAGUCAGCUGUGAAGCCCUUCUCCCUUUGAUGGCACUGGGGUCUUACUGGAUCAUGGUGCUUAGUUACAGACUAACCAGCUACUGGGUGUGACCGUGUGGUUGAGGAUCUUUGCCUCAGUAUGGACUGAGAAGUCACCCAUAUACCUGGCUACUGCUCACGGUUUUUUGGUCCCCUUUGCUCUGUGACCCACACUCAAGUGUGGUUGAGAACACUUCCUAAGUAUCUGUCAUGCGCCAGUGAUGUCCAACACAGUUAGAGAUGUUUGUGCGUGCUUACUUGCAAAGGCAAGGGCAUUUGCUUUUGUAGAAAGAGCAGAAGUGUCCCUGCACUAUAGACGACAUGUUUCGGUAGCCAUUUAGUGACUCCAGUGUCUUCUCUGAGAGAGAUGGGACAUUCUUGGCAUCUUAGGUUCACAAAGUGACCUCCCGAAGAUGUUGGUGCUGUUGAAGCAUAAAGAUUGUUUAGAGGUGUUCCUCUGCCUUCUUUGACCUGCGCAAUUGAUGCCAGGCUUGGUAUUUGGGUUCCUUUAGGUUUUAAGGAACCUUUGCAAAUGCUCGUCUAUUCCAAAGUCACAGUGAAAGCAAGGCAGGCAAGAAAGAGUGCCAGCAGCUGUCCGAAAGCUCACAGUCAUCUGACAUACUCGGCAGCCAUAGGCAGUCUCCAGGGAUACAGGGGUAGCAAGAAUAAUGCCAUCAUGGUCUCUCCACAGCAGGACUAAGUGCGCCUGACUCUGGGAUUCUGCUGUUACAAUGAGCUGGGGCUGGGGAAGUGACUGUCCCAGUAUGCCCAGAAUUAGAGUUUCUGGAGACAAAGGACUUUCAGAGCUAAACCUGGGACGAUCCUGGACAAACUGGAAUAAUUGAUCAUCCUACCAGGGAACUCAAGGACCCGCUUCUGUUUCUGUUUUACUUUUGCUGCCAGGGAGUGCACCUAGUUGGUUUGGCCAGCUGGCACUGGGAGCUGAGUGUCUGUUUGCUUCAUUAGCCACUGCAUAGCCUAUAGAUGCCAUCGGACCAGGCUGCAGUCCUGACCAUAUCAGUUGUUUCUGGGAUAGUGAAGCUGCAGGUUAUUGGACAAAAACCUGGGUAUGAUGAAAUGACUGAGACCUUGUCCUUCUGAGACCAUGUGGACAGACAGUAGGCAUGGCAAGAAUUUGGGGUAUUGGGAUUGCUCGCUACUAUAGUCCUACUUAAAACACUGACAUUAACCUUUAGCAUGAGAAACACAACAAACAGUCCCUGAGAAGACUGGGAAAUAAAUAGACCAUGGUGUGUGUGUGUGUGUGUGUGUGUGUGUGUGUUCAUGUUCAUAUAUGUGCGUGCACGCACACACAUACUUCUCAGGUAUGCAUGUGCUAUGAAGAAUGAAUCGAGAAUAAAAUUCUGAACCUUUGCUAGACAGAGACAAAGAGCUGAAAUCUUGGCAGUAGUAUUGUCUGGAAAGCGUAGGAGUUGGCUGGAGGACUUCCUGAAAUUCCUUUGAACUCUAGAAUUAUUUAAAAUAUCAAGGGCGUGUAAAUUGGGGCUAAGUGUGUACUUUCCUUCUAAAGUCUCCUAGAUAACCUUCAAGUUUGGUUUAGAAAGCGUGGAGUGGGACCUCCCAGCUCAUUUUUACCUUUCCAGAUCACUAGGAUCAGGGAGCGGAACUUGGAGGUGGAGGGGUGGGGGGCGCAGAGCUGUGCCAGCCUGAUGUCUGGUGUUCGUGACAAGUAUGAACAAUAAGCAGGCAAAUUACAGGUUCUUCUACAGGUUAGAAAAGCCAGGUUUUCAGGAUCGCACAGCAUCCCGAAGUUGUCACUGCUUGUCAGGGGAUUCAGCCUUCAUCUUUCUGCUGGAAGACGGGCAUGAGUGUCCGCAGCGUUGGAACACUGGUCUUCUGCUAAUCCCACUCAUUUUGUGUGGCAUGGCUAUAGUGAGGUAAUGACAUGCUAGGGUAGAGAGGCGCGUGAAGCAUCCAGAGACCGUGCUCAUUCCUCUGGAGAUUCCAUGUACCCCGGUGUUUGCUUCUGAGCCAGCUCACUCUCCUUUCACUGCCCCAGGAGGAACGUGAGCCCCGGUCCUUGGGUGCCAUUUUCUCUUUUAAAAGAUGGACUCAUUUCACCUAUUCCCUUCAUCUGUGUCUUACAUUCAGUCUUUGUUUCCAGGGCCAUCAUUGCUGUUGGGCCAAAGGCAACAGUCUCUCCCUGCUCCGUUCUUUCCAUCUCCAUAGAAUCCCAGAACUCCAGAGGCCUAAGUGGUUCUUAGCAGCACUCUGCUCUGGGUGGAUUCUGCCUAAGGCAAGAAUCCCUUUCCAGCCCCUGGCAUGGGAUCAGCCUGCCCAGGAGGCAGCUGCUGGGCAGAGUUGGAGAUGAGGUUGAAGAGUGAGUGACAUUGAUCCUAGUGGAGAAACAGGAGAAAUUUAAAGAGCAGUGCAUGCCUGUGAAGUGACACGAAUGAGUUUCGAACGAACUGCAUUUUACCCUGUCCCCACAUCUGUCUGUAUCUUACUGCUCGACCCAGGUGGGGGUCUGGAGCUGGUAAAAAGUACAGGCCAGAGGAGCUGAAGAUGUCCACUUUUGUCUCUGAAAAGAGCCCCUUUCAUGUAAAAUGAUGGGGUCAGGCACAGGAUCCGGAGACCCUCUCCCAGCUCUGGUCUCCAUUCCACUGGUAGCUUUGUUGCAUAUGCCAUCAGCUUUUAUGGAAUUCACAUCUUAAAGAUUUACUAUUUAUUCCAUAUUAGAAAAGCGUUGUAAAGCUGGGUGUGAUUACAUACCCACGACACUGAAGCCGGAGGAUUUUAAGUUCGAACCUGAGCAGUUUAGCGACUUGGUAAAAUAAAAACAAAAGGGCUGGGGAUGUGUCUCUGUGCUCAGGUCCUGGGUUCACGCCUCAGCACUGACCAAGUAUACGAAGAGAAGCAAAAACACUGCUCAUGGCACAGUGCAGUUUAUCCCACCCCAGACUAGGCACAUGCGUCUUCCCUCAGCUCCGUAUGUCCACAGCUCAGUUUUGCAGCAGCUCUUCACCCUCACCCUGAGUGGUCAGGUGCUCAUAGAGCCUUUCUGUGGCAUUGAACAUUCUGCUUCUCAUCAGAUGGCCUGGGAAAAUGUGAGUGUGUUGCCAGAGAGACAGGGGGUUUUCAUAGGAAAGCCAGCCCCUGUGCCAGAGGCCAUAGUUUAAAGGACAUGUGGUGACUUUGGAAAGGCCCUUGACCUUGGAUAAGAGCUUUACAUUCUAGCCUUCAGGCAGGCAGGUGCAGGGGAAGCCUGAAGAGAGCUCAUGGAUGGUAACUAGUCUUUUUCUUCAGCUGGUUCCAAGGUCAUGUGUGAGUCACCAGAACACUUUCUCUGGGUCUCAGUUUUUCUCAUCUGUAAAAUGGGAGAUGGAAGAAAAGAAGUUGGUACUGAUGUCCCCCUAAGACUCUUUGUCACCUUCUCAUCCUUGACCUGGCUGGUGUCUCACCCUUUGCCCGAGAGUAGCUUCUGUGCGUUGGCCUUUGAUUAUACCAGUCCAAAGCAGACCCAUCUGGGGAAGUCCAUUACCAGAGGACACUUCAAAGGUAUUUGCACAUGCCGUCAGUUGCACUGAACAUGAGUUUGUUGAGGGAGAAAGCAAAUAGACACACAGCUGAUGACAGGAGGGAGAAGGGGGGACUGUUUACCCCCCUUGGUGACUGAGAGGCAAGAAAGAAAAAACCUGCCUGCCGUUUUGACCAAUAAAUAAAAAACUGGGAGCUCUGCAUGGCUCAAACCAUGGGGGAUUUAUUAGUUUGCUUAGUGAAAGGCAAAUAUUAAGUCUUGAGCUGACCCAUCCUGAGGCUUGCCUUUUAGCUUUUGUAUGCCGUCAGGCGCCGAUCACCUGGUCCAGGUACUGGGGUUAUCGAGCUCUGUUGAAGGUCUUUUCUCUUUCAAUUGUUUUCCAUCUCCUUCCUCCUUCACCUGCCCCUUCCUCUCACUCCUCACAUUUCCUGGUAACUUACAUCUGGAUUUUGGAGGAGUUGGAAGCUUUGUUCCACUCAUGAAAGUCCUUGCCUGUGGGGCUCUAGCUGGUCUGGACCUGCCAAUGCCAGCGAGUCCAGCACUUGUCCUUUUCGGGGGAGCCUUUGGCACCUGAUGAGAACUGAACACUAGGCCCCGGGCUGUGAAGCAAAGGCCAUGACUUUCAUUAAACUUAGAAUAAGUGUAAUUAUAAAUAUCAGAAAUCAGCAGGUCACAAGUGUUUCUAAGCUGUGACCUCUCCCUCCUGGGUGACUGUACCUACCUCCCUGUGACAGGUGAUAGCAGCCAGAUAUCCUGAGAGAUGAGCUGCCUGAGAGGGACUGAGCAGGCCUUCUGACUUGCUAUGGAACCAGUGACUGUCACCCAGAGGUUUGGGAUGGUCUGUCUGGGUCCCGAGUGUGCACAAGUGUGAACCAAGAUGGGACCCUUCUCCAGAACGUCUCUAGAGUAAACUGCUGUGUUCUGUACAGUGCUGUACUUCUGGGUGCCCAGCUCCAUGUGGCCAUAGCACAGCAGGGUACCCUGCUCCACGCCAGCCCGAGUGCCCUUUCUAGGUCCAUCCAUGGUGACUGGCCAUGGAAAGUGCAUCUUACUAGUCUUCCCAGGACAUCCCAGUUCUCCACCUGGUACUCAAGCAGUCAAGAGUUGGGGAUGUUGUGGAGCUGUUUAAUUAAGAGGGUUCCUCCCUAAUUCCAGGAAUGAGUCUUCAUGAAAUGCAAUGUAUCCACUUUCUGUUGCUAUGAGAGAUACCCGAGAUAACCAGUUUAUAAGGUGAAAGUGUGAUUACUGCACACAGCAUCAGAAGUUCCAGUCCAUGAGCUGACAGACCUAGUGGUUUAGGCCACUGGUGGAGGGCAGCACAUCCUGGUGGGAGUGUGGAGUGGAGUGGAACCACUCACCUCGUGGCCUCAUCAGUGUACAGAAACUUAGGGGGAUCAAUUACCUUCACUAAGUCUUGCACGUGGUAGUUAGGAUUCAGAAGGAGGGUCACUGAGAAUCUCAAGUUCACAGCUGGUAAAGUCACAGCACAGUGGCCUCUACGUGGUAACUAGAAUGACAUUAACUUUGUGUUUCCUAUGUAUAAUCUACUUACGCAUCACUACAUUUGCCUGUUUUUCAUUUUCCUACUAUUAAUAAAGUGAUGUCUGAACAGCAAAGAAAA
Molecule: long non-coding RNA, 8334 nt
Organism: Cavia porcellus (domestic guinea pig)
Lineage: Eukaryota; Metazoa; Chordata; Mammalia; Rodentia; Caviidae
Exons: 3
Source: RefSeq, a predicted model, not a curated record